UACGUAGGGCGCAAGCGUUGUCCGGAAUUAUUGGGCGUAAAGAGCUCGUAGGCGGUUUGUCGCGUCGACUGUGAAAUCCCGCGGCUCAACUGCGGGCUUGCAGCCGAUACGGGCAGGCUAGAGUUCGGUAGGGGAGACUGGAAUUCCUGGUGUAGCGGUGAAAUGCGCAGAUAUCAGGAGGAACACCGGUGGCGAAGGCGGCAUCCUGGGUCGGUAUUGACGCUGAGGAGCGAAAGCCAGGGGAGCAAACGGG
RNAcentral lists this ribosomal RNA (253 nucleotides) under uncultured bacterium. RNAcentral's name for it is "partial 16S ribosomal RNA". It matches the Rfam family "Bacterial small subunit ribosomal RNA", at positions 524 to 776 of the family's 1533-position model. The record is from RNAcentral.